GCAUUUGGUCUAGUGGUAUGAUUCUCGCUUAGGGUGCGAGAGGUCCUGAGUUCAAUUCUCGGGGAAUGCC
RNAcentral lists this transfer RNA (70 nucleotides) under Ipomoea nil (Japanese morning glory). It matches the Rfam family "tRNA". Rfam says of the family: Transfer RNA (tRNA) molecules are approximately 80 nucleotides in length. Their secondary structure includes four short double-helical elements and three loops (D, anti-codon, and T loops). The record is from Rfam by way of RNAcentral. Lineage: Eukaryota; Viridiplantae; Streptophyta; Magnoliopsida; Solanales; Convolvulaceae.